AUUGAACGCUGGCGGCAGGCCUAACACAUGCAAGUCGAGCGGAUGAAGGGAGCUUGCUCCUGGAUUCAGCGGCGGACGGGUGAGUAAUGCCUAGGAAUCUGCCUGGUAGUGGGUGAUAACGUCCGGAAACGGGCGCUAAUACCGCAUACGUCCUGAGGGAGAAAGUGGGGGAUCUUCGGACCUCACGCUAUCAGAUGAGCCUAGGUCGGAUUAGCUAGUUGGUGGGGUAAAGGCCUACCAAGGCGACGAUCCGUAACUGGUCUGAGAGGAUGAUCAGUCACACUGGAACUGAGACUCGGUCCAGACUCCUACGGGAGGCCGCAGUCGGCAAUAUUGGACAAUGGGCGAAAGCAUGAUCCAACCAUGCCACGUGUGUGAAGAAGGUCUUCGGAUUGUAAAGCACUUUAAGUUGGGGUGAAGGGCAGUAAGUUAAUACCUUGCUGUUUUGACGUUACCAACAGAAUAAGCACCGGCUAACUUCGUG
RNAcentral lists this ribosomal RNA (484 nucleotides) under uncultured bacterium. RNAcentral describes it as "partial 16S ribosomal RNA". It matches the Rfam family "Bacterial small subunit ribosomal RNA", at positions 30 to 507 of the family's 1533-position model. The record is from RNAcentral.